UACGGAAGGGGCCAACGAAUAUCGGAAUUACUGGGCGUAAAGAGCGCGUAGGCGGCUUACCAAGUUGGGGGUGAAAUCCCGGAGCUCAACUCCGGAACUGCCUUCAAAACUGGUAGGCUCGAGUCCGGAAGAGGGGCGUGGAAUUCCCAGUGUAGAGGUGAAAUUCGUAGAUAUUGGGAAGAACACCGGUGGCGAAGGCGGCGCCCUGGCCCGGUACUGACGCUGAGGCGCGAAAGCGUGGGGAGCAAACAGG
This 253-nucleotide ribosomal RNA is filed under the name uncultured bacterium. RNAcentral's name for it is "partial 16S ribosomal RNA". It matches the Rfam family "Bacterial small subunit ribosomal RNA", at positions 524 to 776 of the family's 1533-position model. The record is from RNAcentral.